AUGGGGCCGUGGGAACGGCGCGUGCGCAGAGCGGCGGCAGGGGCGGGGCGGGGAGGGAAGGGCGGGACGGGGAUGGGAGGGGAGGGGCGGGCGCGGGAAAGGAGGGGAGGGGGCGCGGGGGCGAGCGCGGCCGCCCGGGCUGGCAGGCGGGGCGGGAGGCAGGGCAGGGCAGGGCAGGCAGCACCGCACGGCAAGGCACGGCACAACACAGCGCAGCACAGCACGCUGCCCCUCCGCCAGCACGCUUGGAGCGGUGAGUGCCUUCUGCUCCCCUUCUUUUCCCCUUCUUCUCCCCUUCUUUUCUCUCUCUCUGCUUACUACGGAGCAGAAAGUGCGGCGGCGGGCUGGGGCUGCGGCUGGGGGCUCGCCCCUUCCCCUGUGCGCGUUCCCAUCGCUGCUUGGUGCUGCUGCUGCCGCUGCGUGGUCUCCCCGGGGCGGCGUGACACGCGUGGCUGCGGUGCGCCCUGCCCUGCGCUGCCUCCCCCCGCUCCCCCAGUUGCGGAGGAGCCGCUCCGGGGCCGCCCCUCCGCAGCCCGGGCCGGGGGGACCCGCGGCUCCUUCCCCCCCGCUCAGCCCCGCGGCGGGACCGCGUGGAGGGGCUGCGGGCGCCCUGCCCGAGCCGUGCCCCUUUCCCCAGCCCGGAGCGCGGCGGCUGGCGCAGGUGCGGCCCCGCAGCGCACACCUGUAGCGCCGGGGCCGGGAUCCUGGGGGGCGAUGCGAAGCCGCAGGGGUCCGGGCAGCCGCUGCUACACGUGGGGCCGGGGCCUGCCCGGCCAUGGCGGCGGCGGGGGGAAGCGGCGGCCGGCCCCGGGGUGGGCGGCAGCGGGGAGCCGGGGCUCGGCGGGGAGCCCCUGUAGGGCACGGCGGCGAGCCUGGCUUUGGGGGGGGGGGGGAACAAAGGGCUGGCGUGUGCCGCGGCCCCGCACCGCCCCGGGGCGAUGCGCGGGGGGAGCCCAAACUUUGCGCCACGCGGUGCCGAGCGGCGAGCGGCAGGGCGGGUUGUUUAGUUGGGGUUUUAAAGAAUUUUGGCUAACUCCGUGCGGCCCGGCACCCCGCCGGGGGGUGGCUGUGGGGGUGGCGGGGUGGGGGCUCUUUGUUCCCGGCCCUAACGGGCCGGGGCGCGGCGCUGCCCCCGCGCCACGCGGUGCCGGGCGGGAAGCUGCCGGGACGCGGCUCCUCGGGGCCGGCCUCGGCUCCCUUCCCCCUGCACCCAAAGGGCUGCAAGGGACCUGCCGGACCUGCCGGCGGCUCGGUCCCGGCGAGCGAGGGCCGAUCCUGCAGCCCCUGCCGCCCCCGGCCCCCCCAGGCGGCUCCCACCGCCCGCAGCGGCCGCCCCGCAGGCAGCCGGGCCCCGCCGGGGCUUGCAGCUCCUCCCCGCUCGCCGCCAGUCCUCGGGACCCGAAUCGCUUCGCUAAUUAUUAUAAUUGCCACCAAGUUUUUGGAGCUGCGCCCCGCCGCCGCUUGGAGCGCGGCUCCAGCUCGGGAUGCUGCCCCCGGGCUCCUGUCGCCGUCCCCAUGUGCUUGCUGCGGGGGAGAAGUGUCCGCAGCCGGCCCCGAGGAGCUUUCUGUCUGCUGACAGCCACCCAGACGGCUCCGUGCACGCUUGAGCAGGCGAAGUAG
RNAcentral lists this long non-coding RNA (1620 nucleotides) under Anas platyrhynchos platyrhynchos (common mallard). Its description in RNAcentral is "lncRNA (ENSAPLG00000023163.1)". The record is from RNAcentral. Lineage: Eukaryota; Metazoa; Chordata; Aves; Anseriformes; Anatidae.